RNAcentral lists this unclassified non-coding RNA (621 nucleotides) under Hevea brasiliensis (rubber tree). Lineage: Eukaryota; Viridiplantae; Streptophyta; Magnoliopsida; Malpighiales; Euphorbiaceae. The record is from RNAcentral.
AAAUAAAGUGGAAGUCGUAAUGAUAAUCUAUUUAUUAAAGCCCAACAUAUUGAAAAAGAGUUGGGCUUCAGGUUGUUUUCCUAUCCACUAAGCCACAGUCUUCUUCUCUGAUGCUGAUGCUCAACCUUGUAAUAAACUCGAGCUUCAAUCCUCAGGUAAUCGAAAAUGCCAGCAAUAGCCAUGAACAGAGCAGUUCUUAGAAAUCUCUCACUCCAUAUUCGCAACCAUCUUCUCGCUCCUCCAAAAUCAUCGCCAUUUAUAUUUGUUUUAUGGACUCGUUCUACACUCAGAUUCUACUUGUUCGAGUCUGAAUCAUCCGAAGAAGCAAAUUUUUCUUGGAACCAAAAGCCACAUGGUGGAGUUGAGGAUGUCGAUAGCGUGAGCAACCAAGGUAAAGAAAAUGGGAUUAAUAGUUUGUGGUUCUAGUUGGUUUUUGUCUGGCUGGUGGGAAAAUGAUGGAAAUAUAUGGUUUAUUAAAAUUUGUGUAAAUUAUUGAAUUUUUAGAUGUGUUACGCUUGCAGAGCUAAAGAGGAGGAUGGAGAAGCACUACGAGGGGAAUCAAGAGGCAAUUCCAGCAAUAUUUGAAGCUAUAUUGACGAGGAAAUUGGCAGGGAUUAGAGA